Molecule: non-coding RNA, 557 nt
Organism: Odocoileus virginianus texanus
Lineage: Eukaryota; Metazoa; Chordata; Mammalia; Artiodactyla; Cervidae
Source: RefSeq, a predicted model, not a curated record
AUGAAAGAUCCCAGUCGCAGCAGUACUAGCCCAAGCAUCAUCAAUGAAGAUGUGAUAAUUAAUGGUCAUUCUCGUGAAGAUGACAAUCCAUUUGCAGAGUACAUGUGGAUGGAAAAUGAAGAGGAAUUCAACAGACAAAUAGAAGAGGAGUUAUGGGAAGAAGAAUUUAUUGAACGCUGUUUCUAAGAAAUGCUGGAAGAAGAAGAAGAACAUGAGUGGUUUAUUCCAGCUCGAGAUCUCCCACAAACUAUGGACCAAAUCCAAGACCAGUUUAAUAACCUUGUUAUCAGUGAUGGCUCUUCCCUGGAAGAUCUUGUGGUCAAGAGCAAUCUGAAUCCAAAUGCAAAGGAGUUUGUUCCUGGGGUGAAGUACUAAAAUAUUUGAGUAGACGGGGCCCUCUUUUGGUGGAUGUAGCACAAUUUCCACACUGUGAAGGCAGUAUUAGAAGACUUAAUUGUAAAAGCUCUCUCUUGUCACUGUGUUACACUUAUGCAUUGCCAAAGUUUUGUUAGUCUUGCAUGCUUAAUAAAAGUGCUGAGACUGUUAUUAAGUAAAAA